GUGCCAGCAGCCGCGGUAAUACGUAGGUGGCAAGCGUUGUCCGGAUUUAUUGGGCGUAAAGCGAGCGCAGGUGGUUCUUUAAGUCUGAUGUGAAAGCCCCCGGCUCAACCGGGGAGGGUCAUUGGAAACUGGGGAACUUGAGUGCAGAAGAGGAGAGUGGAAUUCCAUGUGUAGCGGUGAAAUGCGUAGAUAUAUGGAGGAACACCAGUGGCGAAGGCGACUCUCUGGUCUGUAACUGACACUGAGGCUCGAAGCGUGGGGAGCAAACAGAUAGAUACCUGGUAGUCC
This 288-nucleotide ribosomal RNA is filed under the name uncultured microorganism. Its description in RNAcentral is "partial 16S ribosomal RNA". It matches the Rfam family "Bacterial small subunit ribosomal RNA", at positions 505 to 796 of the family's 1533-position model. The record is from RNAcentral.